AACGAACGCUGGCGGCGUGGAUAGGACAUGCAAGUCGAACGGGACUUUUUUCUGUAGCAAUACAGAGAAAAGUCUAGUGGCGAACGGGUGCGUAACACGUGAGCAACCUGCCGUGAAGUGGGGGAUAGCUCGCCGAAAGGCGAAUUAAUACCGCAUGUGGCCAAGGAAGACAUCUUCCUGACGCCAAAGCCGGGGCAACCUGGCGCUUCUCGAGGGGCUCGCGGCCUAUCAGCUUGUUGGUGAGGUAACGGCUCACCAAGGCUAUGACGGGUAGCUGGUCUGAGAGGACGACCAGCCACACUGGAACUGAGACACGGUCCAGACACCUACGGGUGGCAGCAGUCGAGAAUUUUUCACAAUGGGGGAAACCCUGAUGGAGCGACGCCGCGUGGAGGAUGAAGGUUUUCGGAUUGUAAACUCCUGUCAUUAGAGAACAAGGCACACGGUUUAACUGGCCGUGUGUUGAUAGUAUCUGAAGAGGAAGAGACGGCUAACUCCGUGCCAGCAGCCGCAGUAA
Molecule: ribosomal RNA, 517 nt
Filed under: uncultured bacterium
Lineage: Bacteria
Description: partial 16S ribosomal RNA
Rfam family: Bacterial small subunit ribosomal RNA
Source: RNAcentral